AGCCAAAAAUAUCUGCAUUCAACUGGCAACUUUCAUCUUUAGGCUUACAAAGAGGUCAGCUUUCUUUAAAAAGGAAACUGAAACUUACAUCACAAGGCAGCUUUUUAGGUGAUUUUACGUUCUACUUUACAAGCCUGACAAAUGGAAGGCAGAGACCUGGAAGAGUCAGUCGAAGUGCCUCAGAAUAGUGCAUACCUAUUGAUGGGAGCAAAUCAAAAGCUGUUGACUGGGCCUGCUUUUACUACACCAUCAAUUAUUUGUCAAGUCAUAGGCGCUCACCUCAGAAAGAAAAACAGAAACACAUGCUGGAAGAUGAGAAUAUACCAGCAGCAAAGUUGCUCAAACUACCAGCAGAUCAGCAAAAAGUGAGAAAAAGCAGCUGAGGUCAAGAUGGGAAGGCCAGGUACCCAUCAACAAUGAUUGCAGGAUUUUCACUGUGCACAUUUUUCUUGAAUUGAGGGCAGAGUGAUGAUGGACAGAGUGGUGAUGGAACCUCCUGCAUACUAAUAAAAAAGAUUGUGAGCAUCACUGAGGGUUUUGGUGGGGAGAAAGGACGGAGGGAAACUGACCAUUCUCACUGCAGUUAUCACAAUUAGGGGCUGAUGUCCUAGCUGUCCUAUUCAAAAAUCAAUGGCUAAUAAAAAACAUAAGCAAUACUAACUUAGACUGUCAAAACAGGUAUUAAAAUUUACCAUGCAGAACACAGCCCAUAAAAAUUUUGCACCUAGAUUUCUUUUUUCACUCUAAAAGGAUAUCACACUAUCACUGUUUUUUCUU
Long non-coding RNA from Equus caballus (horse), 777 nucleotides. RefSeq lists it as uncharacterized. Lineage: Eukaryota; Metazoa; Chordata; Mammalia; Perissodactyla; Equidae. The record is from RefSeq and is a predicted model, not a curated record.